Long non-coding RNA from Elgaria multicarinata webbii, 153 nucleotides. RefSeq lists it as uncharacterized. The transcript has 2 exons. NCBI's taxonomy places the organism in Eukaryota, Metazoa, Chordata, Lepidosauria, Squamata, Anguidae. The record is from RefSeq and is a predicted model, not a curated record.
AGACUAAAACACCUGCUUCAGAGAGAGCCAUGAAGACACUGAGCACCUUGCUCCUGGUGGGCGCCCUCAUCUUUUGGGCAGAACUACCACCUGCAGCUUUGCAAGGCCAGCCAGACAAAGCUGGGAUGUGCCCCCGCAAUCCAUUUCGGUGCA